Molecule: ribosomal RNA, 254 nt
Filed under: uncultured bacterium
Lineage: Bacteria
Description: partial 16S ribosomal RNA
Rfam family: Archaeal small subunit ribosomal RNA
Source: RNAcentral
CCCCAGCGCCACGAGUGGUUAUCACGAUUAUUGGGCCUAAAGCGUUCGUAGCCGGUUUGGUGCAUCUCUUGUGAAAUUGUUCGGCUUAACCGGACAGCGUGCAGGAGACACGACCAGACUCGAGACCGGGAGGGGUUAGAAGUAUUCCAUGGGGACUGGUAAAAUGGGAUAAUCCAUGGAAGACUACCGAUGGCGAAGGCAUCUAACCAGAACGGAUCUGACGGUGAGGAACGAAAGCCAGGGGAGCGAACCGG